GAUGGACGCUGGCGGCGUGCCUAAUACAUGCAAGUCGAGCGAACGGACGAGAAGCUUGCUUCUCUGAUGUUAGCGGCGGACGGGUGAGUAACACGUGGAUAACCUACCUAUAAGACUGGGAUAACUUCGGAAAACCGGAGCUAAUACCGGAUAAUAUUUUGAACCGCAUGGUUCAAAAGUGAAAGACGGUCUUGCUGUCACUUAUAGAUGGAUCCGCGCUGCAUUAGCUAGUUGGUAAGGUAACGGCUUACCAAGGCAACGAUGCAUAGCCGACCUGAGAGGGUGAUCGGCCACACUGGAACUGAGACACGGUCCAGACUCCUACGGGAGGCAGCAGUAGGGAAUCUUCCGCAAUGGGCGAAAGCCUGACGGAGCAACGCCGCGUGAGUGAUGAAGGUCUUCGGAUCGUAAAACUCUGUUAUUAGGGAAGAACAUAUGUGUAAGUAACUGUGCACAUCUUGACGGUACCUAAUCAGAAAGCCACGGCUAACUACGUG
This 497-nucleotide ribosomal RNA is filed under the name uncultured bacterium. RNAcentral describes it as "partial 16S ribosomal RNA". It matches the Rfam family "Bacterial small subunit ribosomal RNA", at positions 28 to 507 of the family's 1533-position model. The record is from RNAcentral.